RNAcentral lists this ribosomal RNA (526 nucleotides) under uncultured bacterium. RNAcentral describes it as "bacterial SSU rRNA". It matches the Rfam family "Bacterial small subunit ribosomal RNA", at positions 995 to 1522 of the family's 1533-position model. The record is from RNAcentral.
CGAGUGAGCAAAGUCACUUUCCCUUCGGGGCAUUGGAGACAGGUGGUGCAUGGUUGUCGUCAGCUCGUGUCGUGAGAUGUUGGGUUAAGUCCCGCAACGAGCGCAACCCCUAUUUCCAGUAGCCAGCAAGAAAGAUGGGAACUCUGGAGAGACUGCCCGGGAUAACUGGGAGGAAGGCGGGGAUGACGUCAAAUCAUCAUGCCCCUUAUGAUCAGGGCUACACACGUGCUACAAUGGCGUAAACAAAGGGAAGCGAAGUGGUGACACGAAGCAAAUCCGAAAAAUAACGUCUCAGUUCGGAUUGUAGUCUGCAACUCGACUACAUGAAGCUGGAGUCGCUAGUAAUCGCGAAUCAGAAUGUCGCGGUGAAUACGUUCCGGGGUCUUGUACACACCGCCCGUCACACCAUGGGAGUCGGAAAUGCCCGAAGUCAGUGACCCAACCGAGAGGAGGGAGCUGCCGAAGGUGGAGCCGGUAACUGGGGUGAAGUCGUAACAAGGUAGCCGUAUCGGAAGGUGCGGCUGGA